This 466-nucleotide ribosomal RNA is filed under the name uncultured bacterium. Its description in RNAcentral is "partial 16S ribosomal RNA". It matches the Rfam family "Bacterial small subunit ribosomal RNA", at positions 28 to 507 of the family's 1533-position model. The record is from RNAcentral.
GAUGAACGCUGGCGGCGUGCUUAACACAUGCAAGUCGAACGGAAAGGCUCCUGCUUGCAGGGGUACUCGAGUGGCGAACGGGUGAGUAACACGUGGGUGAUCUGCCCUGCACUUCGGGAUAAGCCUGGGAAACUGGGUCUAAUACCGGAUAGGACGAUGGUUUGGAUGCCAUUGUGGAAAGUUUUUUCGGUGUGGGAUGAGCUCGCGGCCUAUCAGCUUGUUGGUGGGGUAAUGGCCUACCAAGGCGUCGACGGGUAGCCGGCCUGAGAGGGUGUACGGCCACAUUGGGACUGAGAUACGGCCCAGACUCCUACGGGAGGCAGCAGUGGGGAAUAUUGCACAAUGGGCGCAAGCCUGAUGCAGCGACGCCGCGUGGGGGAUGACGGCCUUCGGGUUGUAAACUCCUUUCGCUAGGGACGAAGCGCAAGUGACGGUACCUGGAGAAGAAGCACUGGCUAACUACGUG